GAGCGGCGAACGGGUGAGUAACACGUGAGUNACCUGCCCUAGGCUUUGGGAUAACCCUCGGAAACGGGGGCUAAUACCGAAUAUUCAUGUCAGGCGGCAUCGUCUGGUGUGGAAAGUUUUUCGGCCUGGGAUGGGCUCGCGGCCUAUCAGCUUGUUGGUGGGGUGAUGGCCUACCAAGGCGACGACGGGUAGCCGGCCUGAGAGGGCGACCGGCCACACUGGGACUGAGACACGGCCCAGACUCCUACGGGAGGCAGCAGUGGGGAAUAUUGCACAAUGGGCGGAAGCCUGAUGCAGCGACGCCGCGUGAGGGAUGAAGGCCUUCGGGUUGUAAACCUCUUUCGACAGGGACGAAGCGCAAGUGACGGNNACCUGGAGAAGAAGCGCCGGCCAACUACGUGCCAGCAGNCGNGGUAAGACGUUAGGGCGCGAGCGUUUGCCCGGAUUUAUUGGGCGUAAAGAGCUCGUUAGGCGGCUUGUUGCGUCAGCUGUGAAAACCCGCAGCUCANCUGUGGGCUUGCAGCUGAUACGG
This 532-nucleotide ribosomal RNA is filed under the name Dactylosporangium sp. 310G07. RNAcentral describes it as "bacterial SSU rRNA". It matches the Rfam family "Bacterial small subunit ribosomal RNA", at positions 93 to 635 of the family's 1533-position model. The record is from RNAcentral. Lineage: Bacteria; Bacillati; Actinomycetota; Actinomycetes; Micromonosporales; Micromonosporaceae.